CCCUACGGGGCGCAGCAGGCGCGAAAACUCUACAAUGCAGGCAACUGCGAUAGGGGAACAUCGAGUGAUACUCAUCUUGGGUGUCUGUCCUUCCGUCUAAAAAACGGGAGUUAGCAAGGGCCGGGCAAGACCGGUGCCAGCCGCCGCGGUAAUACCGGCGGCUCGAGUGGUAGCCGAUAUUAUUGAGUCUAAAGGGUCCGUAGCCGGCUUUGCAAGUCUUUUGGGAAAUCCAGCGGCUUAACCGUUGGUCGUCCGGGAGAUACUACAUUGCU
Molecule: ribosomal RNA, 272 nt
Filed under: uncultured methanogenic archaeon
Lineage: Archaea; Methanobacteriati; Methanobacteriota
Description: partial 16S ribosomal RNA
Rfam family: Archaeal small subunit ribosomal RNA
Source: RNAcentral